RNAcentral lists this ribosomal RNA (319 nucleotides) under uncultured bacterium. RNAcentral's name for it is "bacterial SSU rRNA". It matches the Rfam family "Bacterial small subunit ribosomal RNA", at positions 86 to 422 of the family's 1533-position model. The record is from RNAcentral.
GCAAGGGGAGCGGCAGACGGGAGAGUAACACGUGGGAACGUACCCUUCAGUUCGGAACAACCCAGGGAAACUUGGGCUAAUACCGAAUACGUCCGUAAGGAGAAAGAUUUAUCGCUGAAGGAUCGGCCCGCGUCUGAUUAGCUUGUUGGUGAGGUAACGGCUCACCAAGGCGACGAUCAGUAGCUGGUCUGAGAGGAUGAUCAGCCUCACUGGGACUGAGACACGGCCCAGACUCCUACGGGAGGCAGCAGUGGGGAAUAUUGGACAAUGGGGGCAACCCUGAUCCAGCGACGCCGCGUGUGUGAAGAAGGCCUGCGGG